RNAcentral lists this long non-coding RNA (1620 nucleotides) under Vigna radiata. RNAcentral's name for it is "long non-coding RNA (VRAD_LNC009963)". Lineage: Eukaryota; Viridiplantae; Streptophyta; Magnoliopsida; Fabales; Fabaceae. The record is from RNAcentral.
GGGGGACAAAAAUAUAUUAUGAAGGGGGCGGGAUAAACUACUAACUAAGCAACUGUAACACAUGAAAGGGACAGGGGAUAAAAUAACAUCCCCACUAAGGAAACACUGGUCUAGCAAAAGGGGACCACUACUUUUAAAGAAGUCAUAGGUGCAAUUUUUCUAACCACGAAACUGCACACAUGGACCACGACACUGUACACAUCAACACACAAACUGGAAUUUUUGGGACCACUACAUUUAAACAUAUCACAGAAAUCGAAAACAUAAACAAACAAUAAACGAUACCCAUCACAAAACAACAAAGCAACAACAUAGGAAACAUAUUCUAACAUAAACACACCAACAACAUAUCAUAAUCGGGACCACAGGAAACACACUACAUAUUCGUAGACAUAAAACAUAGGAAACUUACCUUCACUGACGUCCAAGGUCAAUUCGUUGCAUCCACGAGCACGUGAUGGUCUUCGUCUUGCACUUAGAACUUCCACGAACAAAUGGAGAAUGCGAACCCUAACUCUGAUUUCUGAUACUCACGAAAUUCCCAAUUGUCUUAAAUCCCUAAUUCCCACACUUAUUGUUUUCUGAUUAAUAAAUAAACCCAAAUUAUAAAACCAUAUUCCACGUCACAAGCUUUUUUUUUUUUACACUAAAAUACACGUAUUUAAAUCAUUUAUAAGUCAACCAAUUCUCUGUCUACCACGUCAUCAGUAAAAGACGACGUUACUCAUUAGUUAACGGUGAGGGCUUAAUUGCCUCAUUUUUACAAAUUAUAGGACCAAAUUGAGACAAAAAAAAAUAUGAUGACCAAAUUGAGAUUGCCAUACAAAUAUGAGGACCAAAUGAGGGUUUUAAGCUUUUAAUAACACAAACUUUUUCACUUCCAAACAACUUAUAACAGUUCAAUCUAUAACCAUUAAAUUCAAUAAAAUCAUACACAGGCAAGCCAUCAUAAAUUAAACAUACUCAUUUUUCAUCAGUUUCAUAAUUCAUCACAUAUCCUCCAAUAUUCAUAAAACUUAACAUGCAAUUCCAAAAUAGCACACCAAAAUAAAAUUCACCAUAUAUGUAGAGCAUAUAAACAAUUCAAAGAAACAUAACUAGCUCCCCUUACUUUUUGGUUCUCACAGCACAGUUCCUAGAAAACGCCCUAACAGUACCUCCGCACAUAAGUAAUUUCGACAGUACCUACAAGCCACCAAUUUGGUGUAGAGCAUAGACUUUAGGGCUUGAUAGGAUAAGGAAAAUAAAAAUAACUCUACUUGCAAGGUAGAACCUUUGCAUGAGUAAAACACUAGGAUGCGGAGAAUGGGAAAUUUACCUUAUCAGUUGAGAGAUGCGAAACUAAUCGGAUGGAUUGGAAGCUCUCAACUCCGGGUACGUAGGGGCACCUCCUAUUUGGAAAAGCAAUGGUAGAAAUUUGAGAAAGGGUAGAGAGAAGAUGAAGCAAGGUUUAGAGAAAAGGCAGAGCUUCUAAAGAACCCAACUUUUAGAGAGAGAGGGAAGCUAACAAAUGAGUUCUAAUUUCUGAAAAAUUUCUCUCUAAAGUCAGGUUGUUCCUAACCUUAUGGACUUGACUGUCUCACAUAAGGCCCAAUGACUUUAAAAAUUUUUAGACCCUUA